Non-coding RNA from Osmia lignaria (orchard mason bee), 1418 nucleotides. The record is from RefSeq and is a predicted model, not a curated record. NCBI's taxonomy places the organism in Eukaryota, Metazoa, Arthropoda, Insecta, Hymenoptera, Megachilidae.
AUCACACUACUGCCAUCUAUUUAUCAAUUUUAUGCAUCAAAUGUGUCAACUGUGCCUAUUACACUGACUACAGAUUCAACGCUGUUGAUUUUCUUGAAAUUCAUAAUUACCUAGUAAUUAUGCGACGUUAAACAAUGUUUUGAUAGUCCUGUACUUUUAGAAACGUCAUUCGAAAAGGGUAUUAAAGUAUACAAGUUUCUAAACGUGCAAUACUAAUAUAUGUACUAUUUAAGUGUGUAGUAAAAGGUCGGAAGGGAAUAAUUUAAUUCUAUUACUACGCGGUUAUGGUAGUGAUUUAAUUUAAUAUGAUAAUACUAUUUUUCGACUUAACAAUUAAGUAAUAUAUUUGAUGUCCUCAUAAUUUAAGUUUAAUAUCGGUAACAAACAUGGCAGCAACAGAAGAUGCAAAACUUGAUUUUAAGGUUACAAUGGAAUAUGCUGAUUCUCAAAAUGUCGAGGGUGAGAUGACAGUAGGAGCCAAACAAAAAUCAAAUCUUGGAGAACCUGACUUUAAUACUUUAGAUGAACCAAUUAAAGAUACAAUUCUCAGGGAUGUUUGUGCAGUAGGCAAAAAGUUUUAUCAUGUUUUAUAUCCUAAAGAAAAGAAAAGCUUAUUAAAAGAAUGGGAUCUUUGGGGACCAUUAGUGUUAUGUACAUUCAUGGCAAUGACAUUACAAGGUUCUUCUGACAGAGCAAAUGAUCCAAAUGAUGGGGGACCAGAAUUUACAGAGGUUUUUGUGAUUGUGUGGAUUGGAUCUAUGAUUGUUACAUUAAAUUCUAAAUUACUUGGUGGCAACAUAUCUUUCUUCCAAAGUAUUUGUGUCCUAGGAUACUGCUUAUUACCAACUGCAAUUGCUCUAAUUCUUUGUAGGAUUAUAUUAAUGGUAGAACAAACUACUUUCUUAUUUAGUUUAAGGUUUAUUAUCUCUAUGAUUGGAUUCAUAUGGGCUACAUAUGCAUCAAUGGUAUUUCUUGGUGACAGUCAACCUGCAGGGAGAAAAGCUUUAGCUGUAUAUCCAAUAUUUUUAUUCUAUUUUGUCAUUUCAUGGUUGGUUAUAUCUCGUACUAGAUAAAAUAAAAUAUAAAUCGAUUACAACAACAGGACUGUACAUUGUUCCAUAUUGGUGCACAAAGUAAAGAAGAAAUUAAAGGGUCUAAGAUAUUGUCCUGCAUAAGAGGUACCAGGUUGUUUCAAAGAUGUUCCUGGUCUGGGCAUAGAAGAUAUCGUAUAAUUAUCUAGUAAAGUCUCAGCAAUACCUUCUUCUUCUCCUUCUAUGUCAUCUACGUAUACUUGUAAUGUUAAGGUACGCAUUUUUAAUACCCAGACAGCCUGUAAUUAAGAAUACUAUAUUCUCAGAGAAUUAGCUGAAUCAUUAUUAUUAUUAAUACAUAUUAAUAAGAAACAUAUACCUGAUCAA